AUAUAAGUCUUUUUAGACAUUACACUACAAACUACAUAUGGAUGUAUAUAGACAUAUUUUGGGUGGAUGAAGAUCAACUCUGACGUGGUCUCCAGGGCAGGAACAAAUGGUGAAGGGGGAACCGUCUUCCGGGACCAUCAGGCAACUUUUGUGGCUGGGGCUAGCCAGUUCUUUCUGUUGAUCCCGAGGCGGUCGAAGCGCUGUCGUGCAGGAAAGCAAUUCAAAUGAUGAUUGACUUGAAUAUCCCAUGCGCGCAUUUGGAACUGGACUGCAAGAUACUAGUAGCAAAGAUUAACAGUCCAGGUUUGAACUUGUCUGCCAUUGGGCCUUGGGUACAGGAGAUCAAGACCAUGCUUACUUCCUUCAUGGAGUUCAAGGUCACUUGGAUUGGGCGUUCGGGAAAUAUGGUGGCGUAUAAGCUAGCUAAAGUAGGGGUAGGCGAGCACCGUAAGAAAUUUUGGAUGGAUUUCCCACCGGACUUUCUGCUUUCCGUAAUUUCAGACGAGAUUCCUAGCUAUGGUUGAAUAAAACGCCGUAUUUCCCCUAAAAAAAUAUAGACAUAUUUUAGAUUAUAAAUUUAUUUAUUUUGUUUCU
Long non-coding RNA from Hordeum vulgare subsp. vulgare (domesticated barley), 594 nucleotides. RefSeq lists it as uncharacterized. The record is from RefSeq and is a predicted model, not a curated record. NCBI's taxonomy places the organism in Eukaryota, Viridiplantae, Streptophyta, Magnoliopsida, Poales, Poaceae. The transcript has 2 exons.